UAUAUUUAAGUGUUUUAGCACAAGAAUUUUUGAUAUUCUUAGAAAUAGAUUAUUUCUCUAUUAAAUAUAU
RNAcentral lists this transfer RNA (70 nucleotides) under Corynis sp. RNAcentral describes it as "tRNA-Gln". Lineage: Eukaryota; Metazoa; Arthropoda; Insecta; Hymenoptera; Cimbicidae. The record is from RNAcentral.